UUACUACUCACCCCUCACCCCCACACUCCUUACCCUCACCCUUCAGCCCUCACCCCAACUCCUUACCACUCACCCCUCAUCCCCACACUGCUUACCACUCACCCCUCACCCUUCAGCCCUCACCCCAACUCCUUACCACUCACCCCUCACCCCCACACUCCUUACCACUCACCCCCACACUCCUUACCACUCACCCCUCAUCCCCACACUCCUUACCACUCACCCCUCACCCUUCAGCCCUCACCCCAACUCCUUACCACUCACCCCUCACCCCCACACUCCUUACCACUCACCCCUCACCCUUCAGCCCUCACCCCAACUCCUUACCACUCACCCUUCAGCCCUCAUCCCAACUCCUUACCACUCACCCUCACCCCCACACUCCUUACCACUAACCCCUCACCCCCACACUCCUUACCACUCACACUUCAGCCCUCACCUCAACUCCUCACCACUCACCCCUCACCCCCACACUCCUUACCACUCACCCCCACACUCCUUACCACUCACCCCUCAUCCCCACACUCCUUACCACUCACCCCUCACCCUUCAGCCCUCACCCCAACUCCUUACUACUCACCCCUCACCCCCACACUCCUUACCACUCACCCCUCACCCUUCAGCCCUCACCCCAACUCCUUACCACUCACCCUUCAGCCCUCACCCCAACUCCUCACCACUCACCCCUCACCCCCACACUCCUCACCACUCACCCUUCAGCCCUCACCCCAAUUCCUUACUACUCACCCCUCACCCCCACACUCCUCACCCUCACCCUUCACCCUUCAGCCCUCACCCCAACUCCUCACCCUCACCCUUCACCCCCAACUCCUUACCACUCACCCCCACACUCCUUACCCUCACCCUUCACCAUUUACCUCCACACUCCUCACCCUUUCCCCCCUACACUCCUCACCUCACACCCUAGUCAUCACCCCUUACCCCCUCCUUCUCACCCCUCAUUCUUUUGGUUCUUUAUCACUAGUCCCUAGUCCCUGGUCUGACUCAGCAAGGCUUGCCCUUUGUCCCAGACAAGGGUUGCACUGAAUACCUUUCAAUAGCUCUUUACACCGUCUCCCCAUGUGCCUCAAGACGGACAGGGAUGAUUCUACUAUUGGGAUUUUGUAUUGUUUUGUAAAAAGGUUAUUGAGUUUUGUUAUGACAGAACUGCUAUUUCAGAAGGUUGUAUCAUCCUCCAUGUCCAUCUAGAAUUGUUUUCCAUGUCUUUGAUCAUCAGAUCCACUAACAGACACUCAGAUUUCUAUCUGCCAACAACUCUUAUUGUUUCCCCUGCAAACUCCUCUCAACUCUUUGAUGUUGAUACUCUGAAGAUCCUGGCAGAUGGAGAGACAGAAUGAAGAGAAAACCUGAAGAAAACAAAACCAGUCAACACAAGGACGUGUGUCAGCCCCAGCAGCCAUGUCUGCUGUCUGACUGAAUCAUCACUGGGUGUGGUGUGGUGUGGUGUGAUAUGGUGUGGUAUGGUGAGGUAUGGUGUGGUAUGGUGUGGUAGGGUGAGGUAUGCUGUGGUGUGGUAUGGUGUGGUAUGGUGAGGUAGGGUGAGGUAUGCUGUGGUGUGGUAUGGUGUGGUAUGGUGAGGUAUGGUGUGGUAGGGUGAGUUAUGGUGUGGUGUGGUGUGGUGUGGUGUGUGUGUGUGUGUGUGUGUGUGUGUGUGUGUGUGUGUGUGUGUGUGUGUGUGUGUGUGUGUGUGUGUGUGUGUGUGUGUGUGUGUGUGUGUGUGUGUGUGUGUGAAUACCCCUGCUGAUGAGCCUGUCCUUGUUUACCAUGUCCCUCUGAGAUUUGUUUUUAAAUCAGCUUGGCUUACAGCUAUACAUAAACUGUUCAUUGGGAAUCGCUUUGUGGUAUUGUGGUGGGUUCGUUGUCUGAAGGACAGUUGAAGGCAGCGAUGCACAACAGAGUGUUCAGCUUCAGACAGAAAUGAAAGGGAGAGUCGGUUACUGGUUCAAUGUUUUUCUGUAACAGGAAAACAACAAAUAUUGCAUUUACAGUAUUUUGCUCUAGGUGCACAGAGCUGGGUCGCUAUGAACACAUGUUACUAAAACACUAUUCUAGUCAAUCAACCUCUCAUUCAGAUUCAUCACUGCAUAUCCAGUCCCAUGUACAGGUAUAUUAUGCUGCUAGCCUUUAUGAUAAAUAUUAAAUAUGACUUAUUAAGUUUGGAUUGUUUUAUACAGAUUCCAUUAGUCGGUGUAUCAUCAUUCUAUUUGAAUAUGUUAAUGUACAUAAAAGUGUGUUAAUUACAGGAGAUGCAUGUUUGAAGUGUUUAUUUACAUAUAAUUGUAUUUUAAAUGUUAAAAAAUGUAUGAAUUAUUUUUUAUAUUGAGGGAAGCAAAAUUGAACUGGUACCUUUUUGGGUGAGACUGAAACAGAACCCUAAGUCAAUGGAAAAUGUCAGUACAAUGCAUGGCAUUGUGUGCGGUAGCUAUUCUUCAGUGGGACCUGAUGGUUAUCAUCUGACAAGAGAUACUGUACCGUGUACGUACGGGGUUGGGAGACAGAGAACGUUUUGUUUUUCACAACAUUUCCACUGAAUGUGUUAAAUAAUAAUACGUAUAUUAUUUCCUCAUGUGGAGUUGUUCAUAUUUCCUUUUUUUAAAUAGCAUUAUUUUAUUGUGUAAAGUGUGCGGUUGAGCAUUAUGUUUUGGUAAGGAAAAUAUAUACAGCGAUAAUAAAAUGAUUACAAUAACAUUGAUU
Oncorhynchus tshawytscha (Chinook salmon) is the source of this 2715-nucleotide long non-coding RNA. Lineage: Eukaryota; Metazoa; Chordata; Actinopteri; Salmoniformes; Salmonidae. The record is from Ensembl.